RNAcentral lists this ribosomal RNA (559 nucleotides) under uncultured bacterium. RNAcentral describes it as "bacterial SSU rRNA". It matches the Rfam family "Bacterial small subunit ribosomal RNA", at positions 94 to 643 of the family's 1533-position model. The record is from RNAcentral.
AGCGGCGGACGGGUGAGUAAUGCCUUAGGAAUCUGCCUGGUAGUUGGGGGAUAACGUUCGGAAACGGACGCUAAUACCGCAUACGUCCUACGUGGAGAAAGCAGGGGACCUUCGGGCCUUGCGCUAUCAGAUGAGCCUAGGUCGGAUUAGCUAGUUGGUGGGGUAAUGGCUCACCAAGGCGACGAUCCGUAACUGGUCUGAGAGGAUGAUCAGUCACACUGGAACUGAGACACGGUCCAGACUCCUACGGGAGGCAGCAGUGGGGAAUAUUGGACAAUGGGCGAAAGCCUGAUCCAGCCAUGCCGCGUGUGUGAAGAAGGUCUUCGGAUUGUAAAGCACUUUAAGUUGGGAGGAAGGGUUGUAGAUUAAUACUCUGCAAUUUUGACGUUACCGACAGAAUAAGCACCGGCUAACUCUGUGCCAGCAGCCGCGGUAAUACAGAGGGUGCAAGCGUUAAUCGGAAUUACUGGGGCGUAAAGCGCGCGUAGGUGGUUUUGUUAAGUUGGAUGUGAAAUCCCCCGGGCUCAACCCUGGGAACUGCAUUCAAACUGACUGACUA